RNAcentral lists this ribosomal RNA (1307 nucleotides) under uncultured Bacteroides sp. RNAcentral's name for it is "bacterial SSU rRNA". It matches the Rfam family "Bacterial small subunit ribosomal RNA", at positions 76 to 1385 of the family's 1533-position model. Lineage: Bacteria; Pseudomonadati; Bacteroidota; Bacteroidia; Bacteroidales; Bacteroidaceae. The record is from RNAcentral.
CUUGCUAAGGCCGAUGGCGACCGGAGGCACGGAGUGAGUAACACGUAUCCAACCUGCCGUCUACUCUUGGACAGCCUUCUGAAAGGAAGAUUAAUACAAGAUGGCAUCAUGAGUCCGCAUGUUCACAUGAUUAAAGGUAUUCCGGUAGACGAUGGGGAUGCGUCCCAUUAGAUAGUAGGCGGGGUAACGGCCCACCUAGUCUUCGAUGGAUAGGGGUUCUGAGAGGAAGGUCCCCCACAUUGGAACUGAGACACGGUCCAAACUCCUACGGGAGGCAGCAGUGAGGAAUAUUGGUCAAUGGGCGAGAGCCUGAACCAGCCAAGUAGCGUGAAGGAUGACUGCCCUAUGGGUUGUAAACUUCUUUUAUAAAGGAAUAAAGUCGGGUAUGGAUACCCGUUUGCAUGUACUUUAUGAAUAAGGAUCGGCUAACUCCGUGCCAGCAGCCGCGGUAAUACGGAGGAUCCGAGCGUUAUCCGGAUUUAUUGGGUUUAAAGGGAGCGUAGAUGGAUGUUUAAGUCAGUUGUGAAAGUUUGCGGCUCAACCGUAAAAUUGCAGUUGAUACUGGAUAUCUUGAGUGCAGUUGAGGCAGGCGGAAUUCGUGGUGUAGCGGUGAAAUGCUUAAUAUCACGAAGAACUCCGAUUGCGAAGGCAGCCUGCUAAGCUGCAACUGACAUUGAGGCUCGAAAGUGUGGGUAUCAAACAGGAUUAGAUACCCUGGUAGUCCACACGGUAAACGAUGAAUACUCGCUGUUUGCGAUAUACAGCAAGCGGCCAAGCGAAAGCGUUAAGUAUUCCACCUGGGGAGUACGCCGGCAACGGUGAAACUCAAAGGAAUUGACGGGGGCCCGCACAAGCGGAGGAACAUGUGGUUUAAUUCGAUGAUACGCGAGGAACCUUACCCGGGCUUAAAUUGCAGAUGAAUUACGGUGAAAGCCGUAAGCCGCAAGGCAUCUGUGAAGGUGCUGCAUGGUUGUCGUCAGCUCGUGCCGUGAGGUGUCGGCUUAAGUGCCAUAACGAGCGCAACCCUUGUUGUCAGUUACUAACAGGUUCCGCUGAGGACUCUGACAAGACUGCCAUCGUAAGAUGUGAGGAAGGUGGGGAUGACGUCAAAUCAGCACGGCCCUUACGUCCGGGGCUACACACGUGUUACAAUGGGGGGUACAGAGGGCCGCUACCACGCGAGUGGAUGCCAAUCCCAAAAACCUCUCUCAGUUCGGACUGGAGUCUGCAACCCGACUCCACGAAGCUGGAUUCGCUAGUAAUCGCGCAUCAGCCACGGCGCGGUCAAUACGUUCCCGGGCCUUGCU